UACAGAGGUCUCAAGCGUUGUUCGGAUUCAUUGGGCGUAAAGGGUGCGUAGGUGGCGAGGUAAGUCGGGUGUGAAAUCCUGGGGCUCAACCCCCAGAACUGCAUUCGAUACUGCUUUGCUCGAGUACUGGAGAGGAGAUUGGAAUUUAUGGUGUAGCAGUGAAAUGCGUAGAUAUCAUAAGGAAGACCAGUGGCGAAGGCGGAUCUCUGGACAGUUACUGACACUGAGGCACGAAGGCCAGGGGAGCAAACGGG
This 254-nucleotide ribosomal RNA is filed under the name uncultured bacterium. RNAcentral describes it as "partial 16S ribosomal RNA". It matches the Rfam family "Bacterial small subunit ribosomal RNA", at positions 524 to 776 of the family's 1533-position model. The record is from RNAcentral.